Molecule: non-coding RNA, 29 nt
Filed under: Rattus norvegicus (Norway rat)
Lineage: Eukaryota; Metazoa; Chordata; Mammalia; Rodentia; Muridae
Source: RNAcentral
UAUCAAGUGGACGGCGCACUCAGAGUGAC